UGACUUCAUCUUCACCUACCAAAAUAAUUCUCUUCAACUCUUUCUAGGUAAUCUGGCUUCCCAGAAACCUCCUGCUAAAUGCAAGGGUUUGCUGUCCUGUUUACUGACUGUUACACCUGAGGCUGGUUUUAAUACAGAUUCUGGACAUCAUAAGGCAAGCUCUC
Molecule: long non-coding RNA, 164 nt
Filed under: Dromaius novaehollandiae (emu)
Lineage: Eukaryota; Metazoa; Chordata; Aves; Casuariiformes; Dromaiidae
Description: lncRNA (ENSDNVG00000007904.1)
Source: RNAcentral